This 484-nucleotide ribosomal RNA is filed under the name uncultured bacterium. RNAcentral's name for it is "partial 16S ribosomal RNA". It matches the Rfam family "Bacterial small subunit ribosomal RNA", at positions 30 to 507 of the family's 1533-position model. The record is from RNAcentral.
AUUGAACGCUGGCGGCAGGCCUAACACAUGCAAGUCGAGCGGAUGAAGGGAGCUUGCUCCUGGAUUCAGCGGCGGACGGGUGAGUAAUGCCUAGGAAUCUGCCUGGUAGUGGGGGAUAACGUCCGGAAACGGGCGCUAAUACCGCAUACGUCCUGAGGGAGAAAGUGGGGGAUCUUCGGACCUCACGCUAUCAGAUGAGCCUAGGUCGGAUUAGCUAGUUGGUGGGGUAAAGGCCUACCAAGGCGACGAUCCGUAACUGGUCUGAGAGGAUGAUCAGCCACACUGGAACUGAAACACGGUCCAGACUCCUACGGGAGGCAGCAGUGGGGAAUAUUGGACAAUGGGCGAAAGCCUGAUCCAGCCAUGCCGCGUGUGUGAAGAAGGUCUUCGGAUUGUAAAGCACUUUAAGUUGGGAGGAAGGGCAGUAAGUUAAUACCUUGCUGUUUUGACGUUACCAACAGAAUAAGCACCGGCUAACUUCGUG